AUUGAACGCUGGCGGCAUGCCUUACACAUGCAAGUCGAACGGCAGCACGGGAGCAAUCCUGGUGGCGAGUGGCGAACGGGUGAGUAAUGUAUCGGAACGUGCCUAGUUGUGGGGGAUAACGUAGAGAAAUUUACGCUAAUACCGCAUACGAUCUAUGGAUGAAAGCGGGGGAUCGCAAGACCUCGCGCAGUUAGAGCGGCCGAUAUCAGAUUAGGUUGUUGGUGGGGUAAAAGCUCACCAAGCCGAGGCUCUGUAGCUGGUUUGAGAGCACGAACAGCCACACCUGGAAGGGGACCCGGCCCAGACUCCUACGGGAGGCAGCAGUGGGGAAUGUUGGACAAUGGGGGCAACCCUGAUCCAGCGAUGCCGCGUGCAGGAAGAAGGCCUUCGGGUUGUAAACUGCUUUUGUACGGAACGAAACGGUCCUUUCUAAUACAGAGGGCUAAUGACGGUACCUUAAGAAUAAGCACCGGCUAACUACGUGCCAGCCGCCGCAGUAA
RNAcentral lists this ribosomal RNA (500 nucleotides) under uncultured bacterium. RNAcentral describes it as "partial 16S ribosomal RNA". It matches the Rfam family "Bacterial small subunit ribosomal RNA", at positions 30 to 523 of the family's 1533-position model. The record is from RNAcentral.